GAUGAACGCUAGCAGUAUGCCUUAUACAUGCAUGUCGAACGAAGUGCUUUUAUGCACUUAGUGGCAAAUGGGUGAGUAACACGUACUUAACCUACCUUUUUAGAUUGGAAUAACCAUGAGAAAUCGUGGAUAAUACCGAAUAUGAUUUAUUUUCGCAUGAAAUUAUUUUGAAAGAAGCGUUUUGACUUUCGCUAAAAAGAUGGGGGGACGCGACAUUAGUUUGUUGGUAGGUAAAGCCUACCAAGACUAUGAUGUCUAGCCGAGCUGAGAGGCUGACCGCCACCAUUGGGACUGAGAUACGGCCCAGACCGCUACGGUGGGCAGCAGUAGGGAAUUUUU
RNAcentral lists this ribosomal RNA (339 nucleotides) under uncultured bacterium. Its description in RNAcentral is "bacterial SSU rRNA". It matches the Rfam family "Bacterial small subunit ribosomal RNA", at positions 28 to 366 of the family's 1533-position model. The record is from RNAcentral.